This 253-nucleotide ribosomal RNA is filed under the name uncultured bacterium. RNAcentral's name for it is "partial 16S ribosomal RNA". It matches the Rfam family "Bacterial small subunit ribosomal RNA", at positions 524 to 776 of the family's 1533-position model. The record is from RNAcentral.
UACGUAGGCAGCGAGCGUUGUUCGGAGUACUGGGCGUAAAGCGUGCGCAGGCGGUUCGUUAAGUUCGUUGUGAAAGCCCCGGGCUCAACCUGGGAACUGCAAUGGAAACUGGCGGGCUUGAGUGUGGCAGAGGGGGGUGGAAUUCCGCGUGUAGGCAGUGAAAUGCGUAGAUAUGCGGAGGAACACCAGUGGCGAAAGCGACUUUCUGGUCCUUAACUGACGCUGAGGCGCGAAAGCAUGGGGAGCGAACGGG